CAAACUUGAGAGUUUGAUCCUGGCUCAGAACGAACGCUGGCGGCAUGCCUAACACAUGCAAGUCGAACGAGACCUUCGGGUCUAGUGGCGCACGGGUGC
This 99-nucleotide ribosomal RNA is filed under the name Erythrobacter sp. SCN 62-14. RNAcentral's name for it is "partial 16S ribosomal RNA". It matches the Rfam family "Bacterial small subunit ribosomal RNA", at positions 1 to 109 of the family's 1533-position model. RNAcentral also lists the same sequence under 1 other name. Lineage: Bacteria; Pseudomonadati; Pseudomonadota; Alphaproteobacteria; Sphingomonadales; Erythrobacteraceae. The record is from RNAcentral.